UUUUUGUUUGGUGGAAAAUGGGGCGGAAGCUCCAAUACCAAAUAUUUACCAGGAGACCUUAACUGUAAGCCAUAACUACUAUCAACAGCCUUCACUAUCCACAUCACCAAAAAUUGAAAGGUUGAAGCUAGCUUUAUGGGAUUCUUUUUUCUGAUGAAUGGGAUUGCAAAAUUUUAAUUUUGAUCGAGAGAAGAAAUACUGUGGUGAUAAGGAGAGAACAUAAAGAAAAGAACAGAUGAGAGAGAACGAGGAGGAGAUACGGCGAAAGAAAAGUAGAGCAGAGAGAAACGAAAGAAACAAAGUGGAUGUGAGGAAGAAAGGUAAGCCCUUAGAUCUAUGAAAAACACGUGUCGUCAUUUGGUGAGAAGGUUAGGCAAGAUUAGGCAAAAUAUAGGUUAAGAGAGGAUCCAGGUCCGAGAAUAAACUGUUGAGUCUUUGAGAACAAGUUUUUCGAGAUCAAUAGCAUUCUUUAUCAAACGUAUGACAAGUUCAAAAUCACUUGUGUGACCAAAAUACACUCUUCCACUUCAACUAUCUUGAGGUAACGAUGAGAGUAUUUUUCAGCUUACAUGAUUUUUAUUCCUUUUUGAGAAAAUAGACAAUAUCAUUAACUUGUCCACGGCCAGAGACCAGAAAGCGCUUACAUCAAUUUGCCUACUCACAAACCAAAAAGUCUAGUUGGCAACAGGCAAUAACAAAGUGACAUGUAGCCCUCAUUACAAAUGCGUUCAGUUAAGCCUAUCACACCUAACUUCCAACAAUUCCUAUAAAAAUUUCAUGUAGCAAUAAUACCCGUCGCCUACGGACCUCAAUUGGUGUAUAACAAAGUAUAACCAAAAUUUAAACAAGAAUAGUCUUAUAUCAGAUGUCUAGGUAAGAAACAAGGAAAUUAAGCUACUUCCUUGCCCUUGUUGUUAGGGCUAGCCUCUCCCCUAUCGAACUUUGGGGUUGAGAUACAUAUGUAGAGGCGGAGUAACCAAUUUAUUUACAGGCUUUGGCACUUUGUUCUGGCUACCAAGAGGCCUACCAAUCUUCUUCUUCUUCAGUUAGACCAGGGUUGAGUCAAGAUCAGACUCUGAUAGCCCUAGAGAUUCAACAUGCAGCACAUGAACCUUUCCACCAAGAAUGGUUUUGAGUUUCUUAGGAGAAGGAGUAUAAUGCCCUUGCCUCUCUCGCUUCCUGGAAAUAGUAGAUCUUACCAGGUUAGGGGAAGCCAAAGCAGAGGUAGCUGUAACCAAUGGCUCUUCACCACCAUCACCAGUAGAUGAGCUUCCUUGCAAAAUCGGACCCAGCGGCCUAAUAUCAACACAUUCAUUCUCAGGAACCAAAGCUUAUGUCCCUGCUUUCUCUAAGCGCCGAAUUACCGACUUCUUCUUCUCAUUCUACUUUGGAUGCGUAGCAGUAGCCUCUGCCAAGGUGCCUGAGGUUUUGGUUGUAAAAGCAUAACCAGGUGGAGGGACUGAAUGAUGGAAAUUCAGAGACCUAGCCACCGGAUUAAUAGUCGAGCUCUCAUCACACCUCACUCCAGAAUGACUGACGAGUCAACAAAUUGAGCAACGCCCUUGAAGGUUCUCAUACUCAAAUUUCAGAAUUGGUUCCACUCCUUUGGAUAGGAAGACACUACGUUCAAGCAAAAUAGGUUUCGAUAUGUCAUGAGUAAACAUAAAACGCAUCUUACCUCGCAAGAACUCCUUGUCAUAGUUGACAUAUCCACCAAGAAGGUUGCCAACCAAUUUCAGGUUGUCUAGUUCUUCGAAUAAAGGAGGAAUACCCAAAAACCUAGUCCAAAUUCGUACAUAACGACCUCAGAAAUGGGAAUAAUACCAUCUAGGGAUGGGCAUAUGGGGGCGGGGAUGGGACUCCCCAUCAAUGAUGCGGGGGCAGGGUUAUCAAUUUCCCCGCCGGGGGUACGGGGGUGGGUGCGAGGCUCACAAUUCCUUAGUCAGGAACCCUGUUUUGGGUUUUUUAUUUUUUAUUUAUUUUUUAUUUUAUUUCUUAACUCUCUAAAACAAAACAAAAGCUUUAGGGAAAAUGAAACCCAGCGAAAACUAGCAAAGGAGCCGCCAUGAUAUUGUUAAAUUGAAACCCAAACGCUUUCACCAGUGAUUGUCUUGUUUUGGGUUUUUUAUGGUUGCUAGAAACUAGAGAGGUCUUUUCUUGCGAAUUGAUAGUGACAUAGUGUUCUUUUGCUCACUCUUUAAUUGCUUUGCUUGGAUUUAAUUGCUAAUCCAUGAUCUGAUCCAACCAUUUGUUUCUGGUAAGUUUUUUGUCUGAUUUUCAGUGUAAAGUUUAGAAUCUUUGCCUUUGCCGCUUUGGUAUGGUUUCUGGAUUUUCUGAUUCGGGUGCAUGGAUUUUCUGUAGAUUCUAUUGAAUUGUUUAGUUGGUGAUGUUAGAAAUAGGGAUUGGAUUUUGGGUGAUUCAAAUGGAUGCUUGAGGUGGAUGCUUGAGGCAUAUGAGCUCUGGUAAAUGCAGGGUGGAGCCUUAAAUGAAAUGAACUGUGAAUAACUGCAAUACUGCUACAGGGGGGCGUGGUUAGGGGGAACCCAUUUCCCCGCGGGGUGGGGUGGGGAACUUCCCCUAGAUGGGAAACGAGGCGCGGGGAAUAUCAGAAGUGGGGGUAGGGGUGCGGAAGUUAGAGAAUCCCCCAUAUGCCUAUCCUUUUUUACCAUCAUAAGGUUCCAAACACACAUGAGCACAUUCAUAAUAUCAUACUCCUCCCUUAAGAACCUUAUUGCGCUCAAUGACAAUUUGAAAGGAAAUCUGAAAAAAGGUUUUCUGCUCCCUCUUAAAUUCGGAUUGGAUGUUGCACAAUCCAAGUCCGAUGAAAGUGAUUGAUGAAAGUAGCAGGAUCCGCUGCAUGCCGAGUCAGAGGUCGGCCUAGGAGAAACGAUUAGGAGGACCGGCAAACAGGGCCACCCCCAAUCUUGUCGAGGUCUGGAGCAACCCCACCGGCAGCCAAAGCCAAAGAGGCCGCAGCUUGCUGUGACAACAUCAAUGGAGACCAUAAUGAUUGUGAUGUAGUGAGUUGAGAUAAAAGGAUCAAAUAUGAGAAGGAUUGGCAUGAAAUUGUGGUCGCGGCGCUAGCGUUUUGAGGAAAAAGUAGGGUGAGCAAAAGCUCCUAGUUUCUUGGAGCAAAGCCGACUCUGUAUACAAGAUCUUCUCUUGGUAGGGUAGACUUGAUUUCUAUUCCUUCUCUUUUAUUGGAUACAUAAUAAUUUUGCAACUUCAACACAAGUUUGUGCACGCAAGGAGAUGCCUGAAUGAACGAGGCUAAUUGAAGAACACAACAAACAUUGUCUACUUCAAAGCUUAAUUCCAAAUUCCUAAGAUUUACUAACAUAGGAAGUACAAAAGUCUUCUUCUCAAGCUUGUGUGGACGUAUUUAAAGAAUCUAUAGUUGAGGAACACAGCACGAAAGUUGCGCCAAUGCAAUCAUUGUAUGAUCUACAGUGAAAGAGUACGAAAUGGAUACUCAACAAGUAGCGGCACAUUCCUGAGAACCAAUUUGAUUAUCUCAUAUCCAGCAUAACUAAAUGAGACAAGGUUUAAAUUAGAAAUAUCAACGUCUUUCAUAUCCGAACACAUAUGUAUGUCUAAGUACUUCAAUGCAAUUGAUGGACCAACAACGCUUAGCUUCUGCAACUUCCUAGAAUAACGCACCGAUAAUCGUUCAAGAAGUGGACAGUUGGACAUGAAGCCUUGUUGGUCUUGCCUCAAGGACGGUAGUGAUUAACAGAAAAGAGGUUGUUGACUAGCUUUGCUGGAAAUUAAACAAAGCAAGAAAGUUUUUGGUUAAAUCUACUUACCGAUAUAUAUGCAUGUGUUUACACACUCUAUCUACUGAUCAUUAAUGUUGAAUAAUGUGAAGAUGAUUUUUUGUAGGAAAGCUGUGGAAGACUAAAAAUAUCAGGCAAAGUUAAAAACUUAAAAUACGUACAUAUUUGGAGAGUUUGCUUAGAUAUUCUUCCCUCCCUUUGUAGACUAGUUGCAAAAAGAGUGGUGAUGGAAUCACAAUUAUGUGUGUUGUGUGAAAGCAGUUAGACUACUUUACAUUUAUGCAUGGAUUGUGAUUAUACCAAACAGGUAUUUCAUAUGAAUCUCAUUUUGAGGCAUACUUUUCAUUGGUGGGGAGCUAUCCAUGUUGAUGCUCUAACUAGGCUGAAUCAAUGUGCUCAGGAUCUCUAGUUAGAGCAUUUUGGUGAAUUAAAUUUGGGUAAAAUACUGUAUAUAUAUAUAGUCUUUGUGGUUUGAAGUCGACAUCUGUUUAGUCCUUAUGGUUUUAUUUUAAUCUGAAUUGUCCUUUAGGACUAUUUGGAUGAAUAAUCGUGACUUUAAGGACUAUUCAGAUUAAAAUAAAACCACAAGGACUAAACAGAUGUCGACUUCAAACCACAAGGACUAAACAAAUUUCAAUUCAUUAAAUUUUCUUUGUGGAGCAUAUGGAAAGAACGCAAUGACAGAGGUUGAGAGAUCAUACUUUUGUGAGAUGGAAAGCUCCUCCUUAUGGUGUUCGAAAAUUCAAUACUUAUGGGGAUUUCAAACACUCUACAAGAAAUGGAGUAUGGAGGUGUGAGUUUUGUGAUUCGUGAUUGGGAAAGAAAUUUGGCAGCAGGUGGUGCUUUUUCAAUUACGGGAUUACUAUCUGCAGAACAUGCUAAACUCUUGGCUUGUAUCAAGGCUGUGGAUUUGGCUAUUGAUCACGGUUUCUCUCCCUUUAUUCUUGAGACAGAUGCUCAAGAAGUUAAGAGACAGAUUGAGGUAGUGCAAAUGCUUAAAUACUUCGCUUUUAGGGCGAAUUUAUGAAGAUUUGUGCUUUAAAUUAGCUUAGCAGUGUGCUUGGAAGGUUUAGUAUGUCAAUAGGAAAUGUAAUUUUGUGACACAUAUAUUGGCUGCUCAUGCCAGUUCUCUGGCACAAGAGGAACUUUUUUUCUCUCCACCUAUUCUUUUACAAGCCACAAUUGCAGUUGGAAUUUGUAAUAAUGUUUAAUUUGUUUUCUCAUCUUCAAUAAAGGAUUGGCAAUUUUGAUUCAAAAAAAGAGUAUUCUAAUAUGCAAAAGCAGACAACAUAUUAUACCAAAAACUUCUGAAUCCAAUCAUAUUAUUGACUAACCAAAAAGAUAAAGCCUAAAGAAACUAUGUGAAAAAAACAAAAUUUUAAAACCAUUAUGUUGAACCUCUAGUGGCCUACGACCUCAAUUGGUGUAAGUGUCUAAAAAGCAACACAAUAUGACGGUUACAUUCAAGAGAAAAAAUAUGGCAGGGAUAGAAGCAGAAUGCCCCAACAAGACUACCCAUCCAAGCUAGAUGAAAGGAUAUAGGAGAAUUCGGCCAAAAAUAGGCCUAAUAUAUUAUUUUAUUGAAACAGUCCACCUAUGCAACGACCCUAACCGAAAAUCUCAACCCCGCCCUUCAACGUUCCAACGGCCUCCAACGACCCUCAGCCAUCACCAAGCCUCCAAAAGGCCGACCGAAACGCCUAGUUUGAAGAGAACUGUCAUUGCCUAACUAGACGCACAAACUCCCAGCCUCUGAUAUCACCAAACUUCGAUAUGAGUUCAAUAAACCGUCGUAGCCUAACUAGACUCACAGACUCCCAGCCUCUGGCCUUACAUCACAUCGUCGAACUUCCAUAUGGGCUCGAGUUUGCUUGCAUGCCGCUUUAGGCACAUCUCUCUUUCUUAGUGUCACACUGAACUGAAUGAAAAUCCGUCACAACCAAGACCCCGUUAGUAGCGGCGAGCGAGAGCGGAUUGGGGGUUUGAAGAAAAACAAACACGAAGCUUCCUACGGCAAAGUGUUCACUUCUUUUUCGCUAGAUUUCAUUUGAUUUGUUGUGGAUUGGAUGAUGGAAAAACCAGCAAGCCAAUCUCCUUGAUUCUCAAGUCGACGGCACAGUGAACUGUAAUUGUGAAAAGGUUGGAAGAUCUGGCCAAAGAAGGUGAUAGCCCUGUAGAUUCGUUCCCAUGGUUCGAUCAUUCCCAGUAAAAUGCGGCGUGUUCGAAUUCUGAUCGAUACAUCGCCGUCACUACUUUAGGAACGUACCCAACUAGAAUUAGUCAAGCCCAAUCACCCUUAGUCCAAAGUCGUCUCUUGAACCACCAUAUAGAUGCUAAUUAUCGACCUUGAUCAAGAGUUAUAAAUCACCUUGACCCGACCCAUUCAAGCUAGCCAAACAUGACGCAACCUAAACACCUCUCUGUCAUAGCCACAAACUCGAUUCUGAUCCUUCACUCCCAACAUCGAUCAGAUUGGAGCACCUAAUCCACCUUCAUCGGAAGUGACAUCAAUACCAAACAGAACCAGUCAUUGCACCCACAAACAAAAAGCAGACGCCAAUGUCGAAACGCCGGAUCGCCUCCAAGUUGAUGUCGCGCCCAUCUUUCAUAUCACCACGAUUGAGUGUCCCACCUCACAUAAUCACUCAAUCACAAGUCCUCAAUAAGACGGUCGCCGUCACCAACAGAAACCCUAGGAUUUCAAUUUGAGAUCACUCCAAACGAGUCAAAGGUCUCCUUUCUAUUUUUUGUGAUCACAUCUUAUUUCAAAAUCUUAAGACAAUUUUAAUCUUUGGUAAUUGAAGUAAGGGUAACACUGAAACUCUCUUAAUAAAAGAUGGAAAAAAAAACAUGGUAUACAUAAGAAAGAGUUAAGAGUUGAUCAAAUGAUAAAUUAUUAGUCAACUAAUUAAAUUCAUUUUUAUUCCUUCUUUCUUUUUUAUAAAUAAAUUCAUUGUAUUCCUCAUCUUGAUAUUCGUCACCUAACUAAAUUUGUUAAUGUCAUGAAUUCACCCCUUGAAAUUUAAAAUGGUCAAAUCAGUAUUUUGGAAUUAUGUAGAAUUGAAAAUAAAAAAUUUGUAUUUUCUUACAUGGAGUGACAAUAAGGGCUCUUUUAUUGUCCUUUUACAAUCGUGGCUACAAAUCUUAGACCUCCUUAAGGGCCCUUUUUUAUUGUCCUUCUAUGAUAGGGUGCGUAGCAGCUUAGGGCAUUUAUUCCUCCACGCUGGAGUCCAUCUUUUGGGAAAAAUUCAUGCAACGGUUACUUUGAGUCAAUUUGUAAUCUUCAUGCACAUGGAAACAAUGUAUUUACAGCAUAAAUCUGAUAAUCAGAUUCAUCAAAUCCACACACAAAAAGAAAUUAAUCUAAUCUGGACAGUCAAAAUUAUAGUAAUUUGAUUAAUUUUGAUAUUCAUGCAUAUGCAUCGCAAAAUCCUGUCAGCAAAAUCUAUUUGCCAAUUUAACUCUUUCAAAUGCUAUAUAAACAAAACCACCGUACCACAAAUGUCACAAAACCAGCUCUCUAUCUAAUUAGCCAUGGCAGCAACAACGGCAUUUGUACUCUUCCUUCUUUGUGUCUCUCAUUUCUCUUGGGUCUCAGCUAAAGGGGGAUUCACCAUUGACCUAAUUCACCGUGACUCACCUCGCUCUCCCUUCUACAACCCUUCAGAAACUCCAUCCCAACGCUUGAAGAAUGCCUUCCACCGUUCCUUCGGUCGACUCAGCCAUGUCAACCCAACAGCUUCCUCUUCAGUAGCUCAGCCUAACCAGGCCGAGUCCACUAUAAUCAACAACCGCGGCGAGUACCUCAUGGAGUUGUCUAUCGGAACACCACCAGUUCCGAUCAAGGCCAUCGCUGACACUGGAAGUGACCUCAUCUGGACUCAGUGCAAGCCUUGCGUUGAUUGCUACACGCAAACCGAUCCUAUUUUCGACCCCUCAAAAUCGUCUACUUACAAAACCAUUCCUUGCGCUUCAAACCAAUGCACUGAGUUGAAGGGCAAGUGCCCCACCGCGGGGAACGGUUCAAGUUCAGCUUGCCCAUACGAAGUGAACUAUGGUGAUCAGUCACACACAAUCGGAGAUAUUGCCGUGGAUACCCUAACCCUAGCUUCCACUACCGGGAGAGACGUUUCCUUCCCAAAAAUCAUUAUCGGUUGUGGCCACGAUAAUGCUGGAACAUUUGACAAAAAUGGGUCUGGAAUAGUUGGACUCGGAGGGGGUGACGAGUCACUGAUUACCCAACUGAGCACUUCUAUAGAUGGAAAAUUUUCGUAUUGCUUGGUCCCUUUUGCCUCAGAAGGUGACCAGACAAGCAAGUUGAACUUUGGUGACACUGCUGUGGUUUCCGGCACUGGCGUUGUGUCCACUCCCAUCGUCCAAGAUCAAACCAAAAAAACCUUCUUCUUCUUGACAUUGGACGCUAUAAGCGUCGGCAACACGAAAAUUCCCUUCUCAUCAUCAUCAUCUUCACCCUCUGGUGACGGCAACAUUAUAAUCGACUCCGGCACCACGCUAACCAUACUAGAACAGUCCUUCUACUCAAACCUAGAAGAUGCAGUUGACAAGGUUGUCGGUAGGGAGCGUACAUUCAUCCCAGGGAUUCCAAUGUCUCUUUGCUACACCGUGAGUCUGUCCGAAGAAUUGAAAGUGCCAAAUAUUACUGUAAAUUUCAGUGGUGCGGAUGUGGAGUUGGAGCCAAAGAACACGUUUGUUAGAGUCAGUGACGAGGCAGUGUGUUUUGCUUUUGCACCGUCGCAAAGUCUUUCGAUCUACGGGAACCUGGCUCAGGCAGGUUUCGUGGUAGGAUAUGACCUUAAGAAGAAGACUGUGUCCUUCAAGCGAACUGACUGCACCAAGGUCUAAUUUGUAUUUAGUUGUUGCAUUUUUUUUUUUCCCUUUCAUUAAUAUAUAAUAAUAGUGCUCUGUGUCCAGAACAAUCAAGAUUCAGUGUUUUCAUUUCAGCUCUUAUGAUGGUCCAUGUUAGAAGAAUUUCCAUUGUAAAGUACUUGUUCAAUUGAAUCAGAAGAGGUGGAUUCGAUAUCCUGUUCUAGUGUUCUUCGUAAUUUAUUUUUUCGUGAGUUUGUCUGCUUUUUAUUUUGUUAUUUGGGUCCUUUAGUCCUUAUACUAUACUUCUCGAUCUCUGUCUAGUUUUGCUACGUUAAAUAGUGGGAAACAAAACAGUUUGGUAGCCAUGGAUUUCACGUACGUACAUCCAAUUGAAAUGAACACUGAUUCAAAAGCAUAGCAUACUGAUAAUUGAGGUGAUGAUCAAGUUGAGCCAUCAGAAUCGAAGUUUCAAUCUUUUCGGUUAGAAUCGAAGCUGACUAACCCUGGCCUGACGGCUUGACCUCUUCAUUUUUCCAGAAAAAAAAAUACUUACCAUGCCAUCAACCCCAUUUCUUCGACCCUUGAACGAUAUACAGUAACUAAAAAAACAACGUGCAUGUUACAAUGAUAUUUCAAUUUAUUCAAAACAAAGUUCAAUGAUAUUUCAAUUUACUUUCCAUUAAAUAGAGGAUGUGGAAAAUCAAUGAAAGCACUCAUGAAAUCUUGCCAUCAUCAAAGAUGUGCCAAAAGAAAGCUCUUGAGUAAGAUUUUGCAUUUUUUUUUUCGCUUUAAAAUACUUGAGCUAGAUUCAUUUUCGUGUAUUUUCCAUACAAUCUUCUCAACCACCAUGGUUGCGAUUUUGGUUAACCAUCCUCUCCCCAUUGCAAUGGCAUUAGCAUUAUCUGUUGCAUACUUGUUGCAUUUUUCUCUAGUACAAGCUGACCGUAAUGGCGGCUUCAGCGUGAAGCUAAUUCACCGCAACUCCCCAUUGUCUCCUCUCCACAAUCCUUCAGAAACACCCUCGCAACGCGUGACAAAUGCUUUGCAACGUUCCAUCAACCGUGCCAAUUUCUUCGGAUCAACUAGUUUGUUACCUUCAUCAAACGAUCCUGAAUCCACAAUAAUAUCAGACAAGGGCGAGUACCUCAUGAAAAUAUCAAUUGGCACUCCUCCUGUAGAAAUCUCAGGAGUUGCGGAUACAGCUAGCGAUCUUACAUGGAUUCAAUGCAUGCCUUGCCGCAACUGCUACAAGCAAAAAGCUCCGCUCUAUGAUCCGAAGAAUUCCAAUACAUACAAAGUGGUUUUUCGCCCCUCAAGUCAAUGUCAAUCUGUAAGUGGAACCUCUUGCUCUGAUGAAGAUAUCUGUUACUACAAACGGUUCUAUAGGGAUGGAUCCUACAGCAAUGGAGUUGUAUCAACAGAGACAAUCACUUUCAACUCCACUAGCUUAGGUCAAACAAUUUCACUCCCACAGAUUAUAAUUGGUUGUGGGCAGAAUAACAGUGGACUCUCUAAUGAAGAUGGAUCAAGCAUGAUUGGACUCAGUCGUGGAUCAAUGUCCCUUAUCUCCCAAAUGGAUUCUUCAAUUGAUGGAAAAUUCUCCUACUGCCUUGUUCCAGCUUUUUCACAACUCAACUCUUCAAGCAAAAUGAGCUUUGGCAAUAAUGCUGUGGUUUCUGGUGCCACGGUAGUUUCUACCCCAUUACUUUCAGGUAUGGUAUAAAUGUUCACAUUAAUUUCUAAGUUUCUUUACUGCAAUGUACUGAUAUUUGUUAGUGUUUCGAUAUGUUUUCGUUUAGGAUACUAAUUAAACUUUGACAUAUAUGUACAUUUCGAUAUUUGUCAGAAUUUCUGUUAACAUCCUUAACUCCUUGGUUUCAGGAGACCUAAAAUCUUACUAUUUCAUAAAGCUGGAAGCAAUGAGUGUGGGACGAAAGAGAUUGCAAUACAACAGUACACUGAUGACAAUAGCUCCAGGAAGGGGAAAUAUCAUAGUUGAUUCUGGGACUACACUAACAAUGUUACCAAAGGACUUUUACGAUAGGCUGGAAUUGACAGUGACAAAGGCCAUAAGAUUGAAACGAGUAAAAGACGCUAGUCGCUACUUAAGCCUUUGCUACAAGACCAAAUCGACUAUAACAGCUCCCAUAAUCACUGCACAUUUCACCGGUGCCGAUGUCAAGUUGAAAGCUUCGAACACUUUCAUAAGAGUGUCAAUGGAUGUUGUUUGCUUUGCUUUCAAACCCAUUACUCAAGGUAAUGCCAUCUUUGGCAAUAUGGCACAAACGAAUUUCUUGAUAGGCUAUGACCUCAAGAAAGAGUUUCUCUCUUUUAAGCCAACUGAUUGCACUAAACAUUAAUUCUAGUCGCGUAUUACAUGACGUAAUAAGACGCAUGGUGCGUUUUCCUUCUCUGAAAGAAGAGGUAUAGUUUUCUUUCAGAAUAAGAUCAUUGACCAGAAAUGCAAUCCCAGUUUUUCACAAACCAAAACUGAAUUUCAUCCUCCAAAGUGGAAAACUAGUCGCUCUUAUUCAUCUUAUCACCUAAGAGAAAUGAUGACAAAAAUUGACAUGGAAUGCUUACACAAGCAAGAACCAAAUUUCAUUCAUAAAUCGGGGCACAUGUUAUAAUUACACUUUUCACAAGGAUAGCCUCGGAGUAGAUGAAUAUGGUAUUGGAUUGAGGUCACCCCAAAAAUUUGGGAAAAUAGGAUACAUGAAUCAAUGUUACAAUUGAAGUCGAUUGCAUGCUAGAGGAAGAAACUAAAUCUUCCUAGCAUCUUCCCUACAGUCACAUAAGAAGAGGAAGAGACCAAACAGAUAGCAGACUUCUUGAAACAAGAACAGUGUCAUCAUAACUUCACAUGUUCACCUUGCUCUCGAGCAAUGGAAGCCGAGAGAAUUCCAAGGUCACGAUUUAAGAAUGUCAAAGCAGAUUCACACUCUGAGAUUAUUCUUGUGACAGAAGAGGGCUCACCAGCAACUGAGUCGGAUGAUCCAACAGCAAGAGCAGCAUGUGAGUCUCUAAGAUUCCUCAAGUUCCCUAGGAACUGCAAUAAAUGCAAACCAAAAAAGAAAACAGACAGAUGCCUUGUUACAAAUUCAUGGUCAUUCCUUGUAAAAUUGCAGCAUCAUGGUGCACACUGUAGUGUAUGAUAAUAAGAAUUCAAAUUUCUCUCACCUACUUGGUCACAAGCUGCAUUUAUUAUGUUAUGUAUCAUCUAUGUGGGUUGUUUUAUUCAUUACUUCAGAUAAGUUUUAGUAUCUAGAAAAAGAACUAGUGGUAGGCAAAAGGAUAAUGUAUAAAGUUAUAAAUGACAGUGAUUAAGUUGAUCAGUAUAUAAAUGAUAUUACUUCACAACUCUAUAAACAAGUACUCCCAUCUCACCUGCCUAAGACCUGUACCCCCUGUCCCACACAUUCACGGAGAAAAGGUCAUCAGGAAGUGAUGACAUGUUGGGGAGCAAGAAAGAGGAAGGGAGAUAGAUGAUUUUGGUUUUGGGUCUCUACCAUUGUGCAGUUGAGGAUGCUAAACGGUCCACACCCCCCUCCUUCUCUUCCCCAAACUUUACCUGUGUGCUUAUGGCAUAUCAAAUGCUUUUGCAAUAAAAUGUCGUAACUCUCCUUUCUGUUGUUCACUUUUCUCUCCUCCUAUACACAGAGUAGUAGAUGUGAAGCAAACUCAGUUUUCUAUUUUAUUUAUUUACGCUGCAUACUGCUUACUCUAAGAAACACCAGUGAGGUUAACCCAAGCCAAGUCUAUGCUAUUGGGCGGAUUGAACACCACAGCAUUCCAUACGACAGCAAGAAGAAGAGACAGGAGAUUGGACACAGCAUAAAUAAUGUUCAAGUUGACAAAAAUUGGCCCCCAGAAACAGGAAGAAAUAGGGACUCUCUCCAAGAGCUGCAUCCUCAAGCAAAAAGUGACAAGUGCAAACAACUUUCAACUAGUUUCACCACUGACCCCUUCCAAAUACAGUACCUGAUGCCUAGAGCCUACCCAACACCAACCAGGAAACAUUAAUCAACAUGCCUAUGCUCAUUACAAUAAAUACCCGAAUCAGUCCAUCCGAAACUCAGUUCUACAACUAUGGUAAUACACUCAUACGGAUAUACUUCACUCAUAUAGUAAAGAGAUUUAGAGAGAUAGAAGCAAAAAACGAUAUUUUGAUAAAGAGUUUCCUAUGUGUUAGUGCUGGGGGAGAGUUGGGAAUUGAAGUAGGACUAGGCUAGGUCAUGGGUUCAACUGUUCAAUUCCCCUCCUAAUAUAGCCAAAAAAGUGGCAUAAGAACUAGUAAAUUUAGCUCCAGUCGAAUAAUCCUCAAAAUGUGCUAUGAGGAAAUGAAUCCACAAAUAAUGUGAUAAUAAACAAGGUACCUUCAAAAGCAUUUUGUACGCCUCCAACAAGCGAUUAGCAGCUGGCCCAAAACCAUGGAGCUGGGGUACCUCCAUCAUGUGUGUCCAGGGACGUAUUUCCUGUCAAUGGACAUUUCAAGGUUGCAGAUUAUAUUAUGUCCCUCAUACAUAUGCACACAGCAAAAACUAAUAAUAAAAGAUAGUAUGAAUCCAUGUGAUACAAUUAAUGACAGCAUUCUAUCGGAGUAGGUAAAACGCGAAAUUUUCAAAUAGCAUGGAGCAGAGACAGAAACAAAAACAAUUUUAACAUAAGCCUACUAUGUGAAUAUGGAGUCCACUAAAAAGUACAAAGCUGACCAUCAUGAAGCAAAAUAUACAGAUCUAAUUAUGCCAAAAUACUUCAGUUACAGUAUAUAGUAAGAGAUAACAUAGAAAAAAAAAAAACAGCUAGAUGUCACGACUCACA
This 13424-nucleotide long non-coding RNA is filed under the name Fragaria vesca (wild strawberry). RNAcentral describes it as "long non-coding RNA (FVES_LNC003723)". Lineage: Eukaryota; Viridiplantae; Streptophyta; Magnoliopsida; Rosales; Rosaceae. The record is from RNAcentral.